Molecule: long non-coding RNA, 721 nt
Filed under: Homo sapiens (human)
Lineage: Eukaryota; Metazoa; Chordata; Mammalia; Primates; Hominidae
Description: HSALNT0297476
Source: RNAcentral
AACCAGAUGCUCUGGUGCAAUGAACAACCUGCUCAACUGUACAAAGGAGACCUGCAAGUCAGGGACCCUGUGGCAACGCGACCUCCCUGGGAACCUCUCCUAUCUACCUUCAGUCCCUAUGCAUCCGCUUCCUCCCAAUUCCUCUUGCCCUCACUCAUCAUAAGCAUAUGAGGAGGCUUUGGGAGGACAGUCUUAGUUGGAACAAGGAUUUUCAGGCUGUAGAGACCAGAGAAUGCUUGUCCUGGGAUGUGUGAGAGAUGGUUCCCAGAGAGACGCCUGGAAAUCAGAGACAAGGGUCAGCGAUGUUGGCAGAUGAGGAAACUGAGGCUAGGAGAAGUCAACCACGUCCCCUAGGGGUCACAGAACCAGUCCAUGGCAGAGCCUGGUGUUCUCACCCAGACCUGACUAAUUUGAAGGCUCACGGCCACAGUUUCCCCACAUCCUCUCCUGUGCUAACCUGGAUUACCCACCGCCUGCUCUCAACUGCUGGACUGCAUCAUAUGGUGUCAUCAGUAGAGGGAGGAGUACCAGGGGGUGUGUCUGUGUCUCUCCAGGCCCUAAACUACACAGCUAACCCUCACUAAUCCAAGAGGGUUAAGGAAAUGGGGUGGUGUAAUUCAUCUAACAUUCUGGUCUAAUUAAGCGUUUCCAUGUUUAUCGGGGCAAUCACCAAUUCUAAAAGGAGCAAAUGCAACGAAAUACACUCAAUGCUGAAACCUGA